UACGUAGGGGGCGAGCGUUGUCCGGAUUUAUUGGGCGUAAAGAGCGUGUAGGCGGCCAGGUAGGUCUGCUGUGAAAACUCGAGGCUCAACCUCGAGACGUCGGUUGAAACCAUCUGGCUAGAGUCCGGAAGAGGAGUGUGGAAUUCCCGGUGUAGCGGUGAAAUGCGCAGAUAUCGGGAAGAACACCCGUGGCGAAGGCGGCACUCUGGGACGGUACUGACGCUGAGACGCGAAAGCGUGGGGAGCGAACAGG
Molecule: ribosomal RNA, 253 nt
Filed under: uncultured bacterium
Lineage: Bacteria
Description: partial 16S ribosomal RNA
Rfam family: Bacterial small subunit ribosomal RNA
Source: RNAcentral